Molecule: non-coding RNA, 24 nt
Filed under: Arabidopsis thaliana (thale cress)
Lineage: Eukaryota; Viridiplantae; Streptophyta; Magnoliopsida; Brassicales; Brassicaceae
Source: RNAcentral
UAAAGGUAAGUGCCAACCUAUGCA